GCACUUUUAAACUAUAUAAUUGAUCAUAGUUAAGUAAAAACUAACUACAGGCAAACACAAUGUUCUCCUUUUUACUUAAAGGAACAGACAAACAUAGUGGAGAAACCGCUUUCUGACGGACCCCGUUUUUCCAGUGUCUUUUUUUUCAACUAGAUAUGGAGACACACGUAGUUCAUAGCAUAUAGCAUGUAUAGUGGUAGUCCAUGGCAGGAGGAAUUUAAGGAAAACGCAUCGGAUGUUGACGACGACGAGCUAGAGCGGGAGCGGGCCCCCGCCGGCGCACCGCACCCGGACCCGGGCAAGGUUGAACGCACCUGGACAGGAACAGGAUAGCAUGCAUCCAGGACCAGGACCAACCAGUGCAGGAGGCAAGCACCAAGCUGGUUCAUCGGCACCACCUGCUGAAUGCCGACUUCUCUUUAUCUAAGCUGUUUAUUAAUAAUAAAUAAAAGUGGACGCAUGAGACCAUCAUCCAUCCUCGUAUGAACGAACGAACGGGGCAAGCUAUAGAUUGGAAAGCAGUGUGUACAUAUAUAUAUGCUGGCUUGGCUUCUGAACUUUUUUUAAAAAAAAAAUAUAUUCCAAGCAUAUCCUUUGUUGUCGACAGGCAGAGGAUCCUGCGCCUGAGAUGC
This 632-nucleotide long non-coding RNA is filed under the name Zea mays. RNAcentral's name for it is "long non-coding RNA NONZMAT004323". The record is from RNAcentral. Lineage: Eukaryota; Viridiplantae; Streptophyta; Magnoliopsida; Poales; Poaceae.